CCUACGGGAGGCAGCAGUGAGGAAUAUUGGUCAAUGGGCGGGAGCCUGAACCAGCCAAGCCGCGUGAGGGAAGAAGGUACAGCGUAUCGUAAACCUCUUUUGUCAGGGAACAAAGGCGGGGACUAGUCCCCGGAUGAGGGUACCUGAAGAAAAAGCAUCGGCUAACUCCGUGCCAGCAGCCGCGGUAAUACGGAGGAUGCGAGCGUUAUCCGGAUUUAUUGGGUUUAAGGGGUGCGCAGGCGGCCGGUUAAAUCAGCGGGAAAAGCCCGGGGAUCAACCCCGGCGAGCCGUGGAAACUGGCGGGCUGGAGUUGGAGAGAAGUACGCGGAAUGCGCGGUGUAGCGGUGAAAUGCUUAGAUAUCGCGCAGAACCCCGAUUGCGAAGGCAGCGUACCGGCUCCACACUGACGCUGAGGCACGAAAGCGUGGGUAUCGAACAGGAUUAGAUACCCUUGUAGUC
RNAcentral lists this ribosomal RNA (459 nucleotides) under uncultured bacterium. Its description in RNAcentral is "partial 16S ribosomal RNA". It matches the Rfam family "Bacterial small subunit ribosomal RNA", at positions 338 to 795 of the family's 1533-position model. The record is from RNAcentral.